Molecule: non-coding RNA, 29 nt
Filed under: Rattus norvegicus (Norway rat)
Lineage: Eukaryota; Metazoa; Chordata; Mammalia; Rodentia; Muridae
Source: RNAcentral
UUGGAUUACUGGGUGUCCUACUUUUGUUU